UUAAGCGACUAAGCGUACACGGUGGAUGCCCUGGCAGUCAGAGGCGAUGAAGGACGUGCUAAUCUGCGAAAAGCGUCGGUAAGGUGAUAUGAACCGUUAUAGCCGGCGAUGUCCGAAUGGGGAAACCCAGUGCAAUUCGUUGCACUAUCGUUAACUGAAUACAUAGGUUAACGAGGCGAACCGGGGGAACUGAAACAUCUAAGUACCCCGAGGAAAAGAAAUCAACCGAGAUUCCCCCAGUAGCGGCGAGCGAACGGGGAGCAGCCCAGAGUCUGAAUCAGCUUGUGUGUUAGUGGAACGGUCUGGAAAGUCCGACGGUACAGGGUGAUAGUCCCGUACACCAAAAUGCACAGGCUGUGAACUCGAAGAGUAGGGCGGGACACGUGGUAUCCUGUCUGAAUAUGGGGGGACCAUCCUCCAAGGCUAAAUACUCCUGACUGACCGAUAGUGAACCAGUACCGUGAGGGAAAGGCGAAAAGAACCCCGGCGAGGGGAGUGAAAAAGAACCUGAAACCGUGUACGUACAAGCAGUGGGAGCACCUUUAUGGUGUGACUGCGUACCUUUUGUAUAAUGGGUCAGCGACUUAUAUUCUGUAGCAAGGUUAACCGUAUAGGGGAGCCGCAGGGAAACCGAGUCUUAACUGGGCGUUAAGUUGCAGGGUAUAGACCCGAAACCCGGUGAUCUAGCCAUGGGCAGGUUGAAGGUUGGGUAACACUAACUGGAGGACCGAACCGACUAAUGUUGAAAAAUUAGCGGAUGACUUGUGGCUGGGGGUGAAAGGCCAAUCAAACCGGGAGAUAGCUGGUUCUCCCCGAAAGCUAUUUAGGUAGCGCCUCGUGAAUUCAUCUUCGGGGGUAGAGCACUGUUUCGGCUAGGGGGUCAUCCCGACUUACCAACCCGAUGCAAACUACGAAUACCGAAGAAUGUUAUCACGGGAGACACACGGCGGGUGCUAACGUCCGUCGUGAAGAGGGAAACAACCCAGACCGCCAGCUAAGGUCCCAAAGUCAUGGUUAAGUGGGAAACGAUGUGGGAAGGCACAGACAGCCAGGAUGUUGGCUUAGAAGCAGCCAUCAUUUAAAGAAAGCGUAAUAGCUCACUGGUCGAGUCGGCCUGCGCGGAAGAUGUAACGGGGCUAAACCAUGCACCGAAGCUGCGGCAGCGACACGAUGUGUUGUUGGGUAGGGGAGCGUUCUGUAAGCCUGCGAAGGUGACCUGUGAGGGUUGCUGGAGGUAUCAGAAGUGCGAAUGCUGACAUAAGUAACGAUAAAGCGGGUGAAAAGCCCGCUCGCCGGAAGACCAAGGGUUCCUGUCCAACGUUAAUCGGGGCAGGGUGAGUCGACCCCUAAGGCGAGGCCGAAAGGCGUAGUCGAUGGGAAACAGGUUAAUAUUCCUGUACUUGGUGUUACUGCGAAGGGGGGACGGAGAAGGCUAUGUUAGCCGGGCGACGGUUGUCCCGGUUUAAGCAUGUAGGCUGGUUAUCCAGGCAAAUCCGGAUAAUCAAGGCUGAGGUGUGAUGACGAGGCACUACGGUGCUGAAGUAACAAAUGCCCUGCUUCCAGGAAAAGCCUCUAAGCAUCAGGUAACACGAAAUCGUACCCCAAACCGACACAGGUGGUCAGGUAGAGAAUACCAAGGCGCUUGAGAGAACUCGGGUGAAGGAACUAGGCAAAAUGGUGCCGUAACUUCGGGAGAAGGCACGCUGGUGUGUAGGUGAAGCCCCUGCGGGUGGAGCUGAGACCAGUCGAAGAUACCAGCUGGCUGCAACUGUUUAUUAAAAACACAGCACUGUGCAAACACGAAAGUGGACGUAUACGGUGUGACGCCUGCCCGGUGCCGGAAGGUUAAUUGAUGGGGUUAUCCGUAAGGAGAAGCUCUUGAUCGAAGCCCCGGUAAACGGCGGCCGUAACUAUAACGGUCCUAAGGUAGCGAAAUUCCUUGUCGGGUAAGUUCCGACCUGCACGAAUGGCGUAAUGAUGGCCAGGCUGUCUCCACCCGAGACUCAGUGAAAUUGAACUCGCUGUGAAGAUGCAGUGUACCCGCGGCAAGACGGAAAGACCCCGUGAACCUUUACUAUAGCUUGACACUGAACAUUGAGCCUUGAUGUGUAGGAUAGGUGGGAGGCUUUGAAGCGUGGACGCCAGUCUGCGUGGAGCCAACCUUGAAAUACCACCCUUUAAUGUUUGAUGUUCUAACGUUGGCCCCUGACCGGGGUUGCGGACAGUGUCUGGUGGGUAGUUUGACUGGGGCGGUCUCCUCCCAAAGCGUAACGGAGGAGCACGAAGGUUAGCUAAUCCUGGUCGGACAUCAGGAGGUUAGUGCAAUGGCAUAAGCUAGCUUGACUGCGAGCGUGACGGCGCGAGCAGGUGCGAAAGCAGGUCAUAGUGAUCCGGUGGUUCUGAAUGGAAGGGCCAUCGCUCAACGGAUAAAAGGUACUCCGGGGAUAACAGGCUGAUACCGCCCAAGAGUUCAUAUCGACGGCGGUGUUUGGCACCUCGAUGUCGGCUCAUCACAUCCUGGGGCUGAAGUAGGUCCCAAGGGUAUGGCUGUUCGCCAUUUAAAGUGGUACGCGAGCUGGGUUUAGAACGUCGUGAGACAGUUCGGUCCCUAUCUGCCGUGGGCGCUGGAGAAUUGAGGGGGGCUGCUCCUAGUACGAGAGGACCGGAGUGGACGCAUCACUGGUGUUCGGGUUGUCAUGCCAAUGGCACUGCCCGGUAGCUAAAUGCGGAAGAGAUAAGUGCUGAAAGCAUCUAAGCACGAAACUUGCCCCGAGAUGAGUUCUCCCUGAGACUAUAAGUCUCCUGAAGGAACGUUAAAGACGAUGACGUUGAUAGGCCGGGUGUGUAAGCGCAGCGAUGCGUUGAGCUAACCGGUACUAAUGUUGAGCUAACCGGUACUA
RNAcentral lists this ribosomal RNA (2900 nucleotides) under Klebsiella pneumoniae ATCC 43816. Its description in RNAcentral is "bacterial LSU rRNA". It matches the Rfam family "Bacterial large subunit ribosomal RNA". RNAcentral also lists the same sequence under 1 other name. The record is from RNAcentral. Lineage: Bacteria; Pseudomonadati; Pseudomonadota; Gammaproteobacteria; Enterobacterales; Enterobacteriaceae.